Molecule: long non-coding RNA, 752 nt
Organism: Solanum tuberosum (potato)
Lineage: Eukaryota; Viridiplantae; Streptophyta; Magnoliopsida; Solanales; Solanaceae
Exons: 3
Source: RefSeq, a predicted model, not a curated record
AUAGAAAGAGAAGACCUAAUGCAUGACUUCAUUUUCUUCUUCCUAAAAUCAUCCGAAAGAAACCAAAGUAUAGCUUCAUCUUCUUAAAAUCAUCGAAGAGAAGAUGAACAUACGCUUUAAGUUGAUUUUUCUGUUGAGAGAGAAUGCUUAUAGUAUGGUGGUUUGCAGAAAGAGAGAGAGAAGGAGGGAAGCGGCUGAGUGUGAGAAAAUUAAUUUGAGGGCUCAAUCCGAAAGAAACCCAAAGUAUAGGUUCAUCUUCUUAAAAUCAUCGAAGAGAAGACCUAAAUUGCACAAUUUCAUCUUCUUGAAAUUAAAGAGAAGACCCAAAUUGCACAGCUUGCAUCUUUAUGAAGAAAAAAAAAUUGAAGAGUCGCAGCUUCAUCUUCUUGAAAUCGAAGAGUCUGAGCUUUAUCUUCUUGAAAUCAAAGAGUCUUCAUCUUCCUAGAAGUAGAAUCUUAAAUCAGCACAAUUUUAUAAUCAACAAACUUCUUGCUUCAUCAUUGGACCAAUGGAGACUUGCUCAUCUUCUUGAUAUGGUGAUUUUAAUCAAAGAUGUUUCAGAAUAUCCAAGCAUGAAAGAUGCAUCUGUUCUUGUCAAUUUAAAAUAGUAUGUAAAUGUAUGUAAUUAGCACUCCCACAUAUGGAAAUGUUAGACUAUGUAAGUAUCUCACUUUAACAUUCAGUAGUAUGAUAUUCACAUCAAUAUAUAAUGAACAUAUUUGGCAGCUAUAAUAUGUUUAAAUUAGUAAUUU